CCCGACUCCGAGUGUUUGCUCUCUUGUCUGGUUUCUGGGGUUACCAGGACGCAGGUGCAGCCCUGGUCCCGGGACUAAGGACCAGGGUUGUUGUGAAGAAGCGUGAAAUCUAACUGGGGAGACAAAACAAAGGAAGGCCAAAGUUGCUGACCAGACAAGAAGGGCUCUAGAUGAUGAGAAGAUGGAGAAGGCAGGACUUGAUCUGGAAAAGAACUCUGCAGUCAAAGCCAGAAGACAUGGUUUCAAGUCCUGAAUCUCUCACUAACUGGCUAUAAGACCAUAAGGAGGCAAUUUCCUGCCUUCUGGACCUUAGUCUUUUCACCUGUAAAAGGGGGAGAAUGGGCCUAAAACAUCUCUUGUAGGAAUUGACGGAAGGGUCUGAGGAUUUGUUUUCUAGAAAGCUAUCUGGGUUAUUUUUUCAGUUUCUUGCCUCGGUUCCCCCAACCUGUGAAGCCUAUAGUCACUAACCUCUCAGCCAGGAUCUCUCUGAAUACUGACUCUCUGGGAGGUUACCCAGCUCAGUGUGUUUGAGGUGUUUGAGCCCUUGACUUCCUCACUAGGCUUUCCCUCAGGCUCACCUGAGAGAGAAGGAGGCUUCCUGCUUGGGUGUUGCUGCUGCUCUGAGCAUCUUACUGGCUCUCAAAGAAAACCACUUGAUCUAUGCCCUAAAGUUUGCUUUUCCAGUAACCAAAUGGUGACCCCAUAAUUCAAGUGUGUCACAUGUAACACAGCUAACAGACUUCUAGCGCUGGGAGUUGUUAGGCCCAUCAGGUGUAUUUAGAUUAAUACAGCCCUUUUCUGAAAAGAAUAGGCAAGUCUUUAGCUUUAAUAGCACCUUAAGAAUUCAAGAGAACCAAGACCUCUGUCCCUGAAGGCCUUGAGAAGACAUCAUGGUGAGGAAGAAAGAUCAUUGGAUUUGGAGUCAGAGACCUGGGUUCUAGUCCUGCCUUGAGUAAGUCACCUAACCUGUGUGGACCUCAGUUUCUUCUUCUGUAAAAUGACGAAGUUGGGCUUGAUGAUCUCUCAGGUUCUUCUGACCUUUAAAUCCUCUAAGUAUAAAUCUUGGAAUACUUGACGGCUAAUGGCAGAUGGAACCUUCCAGACUAUUCAAUCCUUGAAUCAUAGAGCUAGAGCAGACCUCAGAGGUUCUCUUCAUUUUACAGAGAAGGAAACUGAGGCUUGGGACUUGCCCAAGGGAACAUACUUAAUAGUGUCAGAAGCAAGAUUUGAACCUAGGGGCCUCUAACACCAGAUCCAGCCCUUUGGGGUGGGUUCCAGCUGGGGUCCCGAUGGUUAAGAGCUUGCCUGAGAUCAUCCUUCUAGAUCAUAUGAAGAGCCAGGGCUGGAAGCAGCCAGAUCCUCACUCCACUAUUCUUGCUACCACUUGUGAAUUUUGUUACCGUUUUGUCUAACUUGAUAAAGUGUCCUCUUGGUAUCCUGAUUGACAUGGCACUCAAUCUGUAUUAUUAGGCAAUAGCCUCAUUUUUUAUACUGGCAUGGCCCAGCUACAAGCAAUUAUUCAUCUUGAUUUCUCUAAAGCGGGUUGUGCAUUUGGACUUAUAUACAAUUUUAGUAUUUCUGGAUAAGUUAACACCCAGAUAUUUUAUGUAGUUUAGAUUUAUGUUUGAUGAAACUUCUUUUACAAUCAUUUCCUCCUUUUUUGUUAGUACUGUAUCAAAUAUUGGGGUUUUGCGGGUGCUUAUUUUGUAUCCUCCUGCUUACUUGAAUCUAUUAAUAACCUUAAUUAGCUUCUUCACUAGUUCUCUAGGUUUUCUUGGUAAACUGUCAAGUUGCCUGCAUGUACAGAUCAUUUUAUUUCCUCUUUCCUAAUCUUUAUACCUUUAAUGUAUCUCUCUUGUCUUAUUGCUAUAACGAUCAUUUUUAGAACUAGUCUUUAGUCUAGAACUAAUCCUUUCUUUAUCUUCAUUUGUCCUGGGAAGACUUUCAGUGUUUCCUGUGCAAAUGAUACGAGCUCUUGGCUUUAGAUACUUUUUCUUACAUUAAAUAAAGGCCCUUCUA
This is a long non-coding RNA of Phascolarctos cinereus (koala), 2019 nucleotides long. RefSeq lists it as uncharacterized. The record is from RefSeq and is a predicted model, not a curated record. Lineage: Eukaryota; Metazoa; Chordata; Mammalia; Diprotodontia; Phascolarctidae.